CUUGUCAAUUUAAGUGAAAGUAUUUUGUGAAAAGGCACAGGCGACGGAAAGGAUGAACCACCAUAAGAUACAUGUGGCCAGGAUGCAGUCAAAGGAUAAAAAGACUACAAACAUGCGGUCAUGAUCUCUGAGAAAAAAGUUGAUAGAAUCACGAUAAAACAUUUUAAACGUGAAAACAACAAGGUUGUGGAAAAAAUAACAUUUGGAGCGACAGUGUGAAUAUCUAAUGCAACUUAGCUUUUCUGUGUACUGUAAAGGCUCUGAACGACAAUCCAGACAAAACACCCAGUGGACUGAAACACCGGCCUCUUUCACCUGUAGGUCACCGAGUUCAGCUUUUUAAUAGACUUUGCACACAUUCAAUUGAUUGAAGUCUUUCUGAAAAUGCCCAGACAGCUACCAGCUCAUUUGUCUGAUCUGCUAAACAGACUAAGCGAAAAUGGGAAAUUAUUUAUUGAACAGUAUGAAAGGAAAAAAGAAAGAAUGCAAGCCAUUGCAGGUGAACUUGAGGGAAUAUCUAAAGAAGUAAAAGAAAUACAGAAAAUCACAAACACAACCAGAAUGGUGGGGGCAGUUUUAGGAGGAGUUGGAAUAGCUGUGGGAAUAGCUGCAGCUUUGCAUACAGGAGCUGAAAAAUUGGCAAUACUAGGAGGCACUGCAGCACUUGGUGGAGGUGGAGCUGUUAUUAUAGCAAAUGUAACCAAGUCAGCAGCAGAGGUUACAAGUGUAAAAACUGUGGAAGAGUUGGGAAAAGAAUUCACAGAAAUUGUUGAUAUACAAAAAGAUGUCCUGGAAAAAAUUAAGGAGGUCUCUGAGGAGUUGGAGGAAAAAUCAUCCUCAUUAAUGACAAGAACUAGAGACCCAGACAGAAGAAGUCUGUUGAAAAUAGAACAACUUCAGCAGGUUCUUGAACAAACAGCUGAACUGUCAAAAAGGAGCAGGGAAGUUAUGGAUGUGACUCUGACCAUGCUGAGGCAAGUGAGGGAACUAUUAGACUUCAUUAUCAAUAUCACCCGAAUCACUCCGACCUCUGAGGAGGAUGCAAAGUUUAGAAACUGUAUCACAGAUUCUGCCUUGCUGUGUGAGAAAACUGUUCAUGAGUUUGCAAAGAUGAGGAAUACGCUCAAGGACUUCGAGGAAAUGCAAAGAGAAUAGGAAUGUGCAACAUUCAAUCAUUGAAAUAAAGCACAGGGUUUUACACAACUGGCUCUUAAAGUCCAUCUGAAAUCACAUGUAGUCAUCCCUUUUUGCAGUCAAAAAUAAUAACAUGUUUAUAUAUUUAUUGUUAAAAGUUUUUUAUUAUUAUUUUAAAGGGAAGAAAGGGUAUUUAGAGAAAUAUCAGAAAUGUUCCUUUAUGUCUCAGCUGGCUUGAGGGGCGUGUCAGUGUCUGUGUUUGAUUGACAGCAGCUUGCAGGCUGAGCCCCGGCAGGGGAACCAAAGACAUACUAAGAAAACGUACUCUGUAGUCUAUAGGUCAUGGCAGACGGUGUGUCGUUAGAGGUAUUGAAGAGUAAAGACAACACUAGCCUGUAACUGCGCCGAAGUGAUUAGCUGAGCAGCUAAUUAGCUAUCUAGUCUGCAUACUGAUAUUAGCAGUGCACUUUUCCCCGGUAAAUGUUUAUUUGGUGUCUUGUUCAACAAGCUAAGGUACAGGACAAUACUUGUGUUCGUUUUUGUGAGUUAAAUAAGAAGGAAACUUUAGCAGGAAAGCUAAUGUGUUUGUUCAGAGUCUCUCGCUCUUGUGUUGUGUAGCGUGCUGCUGUCUGGCUCAGUGUGACCGUCUGCUCUAUCUAUGAUAGAACACUGUCAUUACUGCUUUAUGGAAAGAUUUGAUUGGUCGCAUGGAAGCAAAUUCUCCAUCUGUGUAGAUGGAGAAUGUAUGUUGUUCUGACAAAUAAACGCAAAAAUAAUUGGCGGCACCGUGAAGCCAAAAUUUCAUCGAAAAGUGAUUUACAGAGCAGGUAUGUAAGCUGUUGCAGACCAAAAAAUGUAAUUUAAUUUCAGUUGAGCUUUAAGUAAAGGACUAAUAUUGGGACUUAAAGAAUGAAUUUAAAGACACACAUUGUACAUAUUUGGAGCAAUAGAGUGAAGGGUUUAGCUCACUUGUGUUCACUCAGACUUUUUUGUAUUCAUUCAAUCAGGUCAUGUAUGAAUGUAUCUUUAUUGUCUGUACUUUCUUUUAGAAAAGACAAUGGGUGUAAAAACAAGUUUUUUUCUACUUAAUAUUUAUUUUAAUUUAAUAUUUUUGGGUAAGGCAGCAUAAACAUUGCACAUUUUCGUAUUCGUAUUUUUUCUUUCACCAGUUCGUAUUUUUAUUGUGUUUUUCUUUGCUUUUAAGGUCCAGUUUGUAGCAUUUUGGAGGAUCUAUUAGCAUAAAUGGUAUAUAGUAUUCAUAACUAUGUUUUCUUUAGUUUAUAAUCACUUAAAAUUAAGAAUUGUUGUGUUUUCAUUUAAAAAUAUUUCCCCAUCUACAUAUACAGUAGGGUUGAAAUGAAAGUGAUCUGUCUUGAUUUGACAAGCGCUAUAUGAAAACGUUUUACUUUUUUUAUAACAUACAGUAUGAUUUCAUGUUUUACAACUUAUUGUUUCAUAACAUUUUGUUUGCUGAAUAUAUAAAUAGCUGUCACAGGCAUUUGUCAAAUACCUGUGUAGUCAGCUGAUUAUUCAUAGCCAACAUUGUUUAAAACCGGUUCAACCUGUCCAUGACCAGAGAUGCUGUUCCUCAGUGAGCGUCAUCAUACAGCUUCCAGACAAUUCUGUCAUUGUGUUCUUAGAAUAAAGAAUACAUGAAAACUUUACCCUUAUACUUAUUCGACUUCUAAGAGUAGCUAGUGAGCUGGGAAGGACUGUCAUGGCUAAAGCCAGAUGGCAGAAGCUACAGUUACGAACUUGGUAUCCUGUAUUUGAGAUUAAAGUAGUUAGCCUUACUGCUAAUAGUAGCCUAUAGUUAAUAAGUUAUAGACAUUAAUCACCCAUUGCUGAAAUGUCACGUUGCAUGUACUGUAUAUUAAAGUAGACACUAUUGCUAAUAUGAUUUAAAUGACAGCCCUCCUGCUAUUAAAUUAUCAAUAAGUGUGUAGCUAGCAAGUU
Long non-coding RNA from Sebastes umbrosus (honeycomb rockfish), 3090 nucleotides. RefSeq lists it as uncharacterized. The transcript has 5 exons. The record is from RefSeq and is a predicted model, not a curated record. Lineage: Eukaryota; Metazoa; Chordata; Actinopteri; Perciformes; Sebastidae.